Molecule: ribosomal RNA, 485 nt
Filed under: uncultured bacterium
Lineage: Bacteria
Description: bacterial SSU rRNA
Rfam family: Bacterial small subunit ribosomal RNA
Source: RNAcentral
GAUGAACGCUGGCGGCGUGCUUAACACAUGCAAGUCGAACGUGAAGAAGCAGCAAUGUUUCUGAAAGUGGCGGACGGGUGAGUAACACGUGGGUGACCUGCCUUGCAGAGGGGGAUAACGAGGGGAAACCUUCGCUAAUACCGCAUAGGCUUACACCGAUGGGAAUGGUGUGGGUAAAACUGAGGUGCUGCAAGAGGGGCCUGCGUCCGAUUAGCUAGUUGGUGAGGUAAUGGCUCACCAAGGCGAUGAUCGGUAGCUGGUCUGAGAGGACGAUCAGCCACACGGGAACUGAGAAACGGUCCCGACUCCUACGGGGGGCAGCAGUGAGGAAUAUUGGGCAAUGGGCGAAAGCCUGACCCAGCAACGCCGCGUGGAGGAUGAAGGCUUUAGGGUUGUAAACUCCUUUUGUGGGGAAAGAAUGGAUGGUACCCCAAGAAUAAGUCACGGCUAACUACGUGCCAGCAGCCGCGGUAAGGCGUAUGUGU